ACUCAAAGGAAUAGACGGGGGCCCGCACAAGCGGAGGAACAUGUGGUUUAAUUCGAUGAUACGCGAGGAACCUUACCUGGGCUAGAACGCUUCUGGAAUCAUGCCGAAAGGUGUGAGCCGGCAACGGCCGGGAGCGAGGUGCUGCAUGGUUGUCGUCAGCUCGUGCCGUGAGGUGUCGGGUUAAGUCCCAUAACGAGCGCAACCCCUACCGUUAGUUGCCAGCGGGUCAAGCCGGGCACUCUAAGGGAACUGCCGGCGUAAGCCGCGAGGAAGGCGGGGAUGACGUCAAAUCAGCACGGCCCUUACGUCCAGGGCUACACACGUGUUACAAUGGCCGGUACAGAGGGCAGCCACCCCGCGAGGGGGCGCGAAUCCCGAAAGCCGGUCUCAGUUCGGAUCGGAGUCUGGAACCCGACUCCGUGAAGCUGGAUUCGCUAGUAAUCGCGCAUCAGCCAUGGCGCGGUGAAUACGUUCCCGGGCCUUGUACACACCGCCCGU
This 498-nucleotide ribosomal RNA is filed under the name uncultured bacterium. RNAcentral describes it as "bacterial SSU rRNA". It matches the Rfam family "Bacterial small subunit ribosomal RNA", at positions 899 to 1397 of the family's 1533-position model. The record is from RNAcentral.